AGGCGGUUUGUCGCGUCUGCUGUGAAAGACCGGGGCUUAACUCCGGUUCUGCAGUGGGUACGGGCAGGCUAGAGUGUGGUAGGGGAGACUGGAAUUCCUGGUGUAGCGGUGAAAUGCGCAGAUAUCAGGAGGAACACCGAUGGCGAAGGCAGGUCUCUGGGCCACUACUGACGCUGAGAAGCGAAAGCAUGGGGAGCGAACAGGAUUAGAUACCCUGGUAGUCCAUGCCGUAAACGUUGGGCACUAGGUGUGGGGGACAUUCCACGUUUUCCGCGCCGUAGCUAACGCAUUAAGUGCCCCGCCUGGGGAGUACGGCCGCAAGGCUAAAACUCAAAGGAAUUGACGGGGGCCCGCACAAGCGGCGGAGCAUGCGGAUUAAUUCGAUGCAACGCGAAGAACCUUACCAAGGCUUGACAUGAACUAGUAAGGCCUGGAAACAGGUCCCCCACUUGUGGCUGGUUUACAGGUGGUGCAUGGUUGUCGUCAGCUCGUGUCGUGAGAUGUUGGGUUAAGUCCCGCAACGAGCGCAACCCUCGUUCCAUGUUGCCAGCGGGUAGUGCCGGGGACUCAUGGGAGACUGCCGGGGUCAACUCGGAGGAAGGUGGGGACGACGUCAAAUCAUCAUGCCCCUUAUGUCUUGGGCUUCACGCAUGCUACAAUGGCCGGUACAAAGGGUUGCGAUACUGUGAGGUGGAGCUAAUCCCAAAAAGCCGGUCUCAGUUCGGAUUGGGGUCUGCAACUCGACCCCAUGAAGUCGGAGUCGCU
This 765-nucleotide ribosomal RNA is filed under the name uncultured Actinomycetes bacterium. RNAcentral's name for it is "bacterial SSU rRNA". It matches the Rfam family "Bacterial small subunit ribosomal RNA", at positions 573 to 1336 of the family's 1533-position model. Lineage: Bacteria; Bacillati; Actinomycetota; Actinomycetes. The record is from RNAcentral.